GUCCCCAUCGUCUAAAGGUUAGGACAUCGCCCUUUCAAGGCGGCAAUGCGAGUUCGAUUCUCGCUGGGGGCA
Molecule: transfer RNA, 72 nt
Filed under: Atopobium sp. oral taxon 199 str. F0494
Lineage: Bacteria; Bacillati; Actinomycetota; Coriobacteriia; Coriobacteriales; Atopobiaceae
Rfam family: tRNA
About the family: Transfer RNA (tRNA) molecules are approximately 80 nucleotides in length. Their secondary structure includes four short double-helical elements and three loops (D, anti-codon, and T loops). Further hydrogen bonds mediate the characteristic L-shaped molecular structure. tRNAs have two regions of fundamental functional importance: the anti-codon, which is responsible for specific mRNA codon recognition, and the 3' end, to which the tRNAs corresponding amino acid is attached (by aminoacyl-tRNA synthetases). tRNAs cope with the degeneracy of the genetic code in two manners: having more than one tRNA (with a specific anti-codon) for a particular amino acid; and 'wobble' base-pairing, i.e. permitting non-standard base-pairing at the 3rd anti-codon position.
Source: Rfam by way of RNAcentral